Molecule: ribosomal RNA, 407 nt
Filed under: uncultured bacterium
Lineage: Bacteria
Description: partial 16S ribosomal RNA
Rfam family: Bacterial small subunit ribosomal RNA
Source: RNAcentral
AUUGAACGCUGGCGGCAGGCAUAACACAUGCAAGUCGAGCGGAGCGUCGGACGGGUGCGUACUGCCUAGGAAUCUGCCUGGUCGUGAGGGAUAACGUCCGGAAACGGGCGCUAAUGCCGCAUACUAUCAGAUGUGCCUAGGUCGGAUUAGCUAGUGGGGGGGGUAAAGGCCUACCAAGGCGACGAUCCGUAACUGGUCUGAGAGGAUGAUCAGUCACAUGGGGACUGAGAAACGGCCCAGACUCCGACGGGAGGCAGCAGUGGGGAAUAUUGCACAAUGGGCGCAAGCCGGAUGCAGCCAUGCCGCGUGUAUGAAGAAGGCCUUAGGGUUGUAAAGUACUUUCAGCGGGGAGGCGGUACCGGCAGAAGAAGCACAGGCUAACUCCGUGCCAGCCGCCGCGGUAAUAC